GGCGGUAAUCGGGAAAUAAAUUUGAUUUUCUGAAUUCUUCGGGAGCUGUUGACAAAGGACCAGUUAUCCUGUGUCCCUGACAACGUGUCCAUGGAUGCCCCAGCAGAAUUCGCCUAGUUUAGCAGCUGCCUGCAGACACCGGCUUUCAUACUUAAACUGCAUCAGUACUGUAAUCUUUUCCUGCAACUCACAGAGCAGAGAGCUCUGCUGGUCGUUAAUCACACAACACCUUGACCUGGAUCUGGGGGCUGCUGGCUCUGAUGCUGGUUGCUGUGUGACCUUGGAACUGUUCCUUCUCCUCUCUGGACCACAGCUGCCUCAUUCAGAAAAUGAAAGAUUUGGACAAGAUAGUUUUUAAGGUACUUCCCAGAUGUAAAGCUCUCCAUAUAGAUGUCUCUCACUUUAUAAAACCCAACAUCUGAAACAAUAAAUAAAAUCUAUCCUUCUCAAAUACCUUUUUACUUAUGACACAGGCCAAUAAAG
Non-coding RNA from Odocoileus virginianus texanus, 483 nucleotides. The record is from RefSeq and is a predicted model, not a curated record. Lineage: Eukaryota; Metazoa; Chordata; Mammalia; Artiodactyla; Cervidae.